Long non-coding RNA from Pan troglodytes (chimpanzee), 845 nucleotides. RefSeq lists it as uncharacterized. NCBI's taxonomy places the organism in Eukaryota, Metazoa, Chordata, Mammalia, Primates, Hominidae. The transcript has 2 exons. The record is from RefSeq and is a predicted model, not a curated record.
CUUCAUCUUCACUUUCUAGUUUGUUGAUAUUCCUUUUGGUGAUUAUAAGCUGCUCUUUAAAAUGGUCAAUAAUGCCUAAGAUGUUUAUUAUCUUGCCCUUUGCAGAAAAAAAAUUUCAGCUUUUGCUCUGGAAUGAUUUUGCAUCUCUUCCACCAAGCUUCCAGUGUAUCAAUGGCCAGAAAAUAAUCUAUAUGUUAAUUUGUUAAUUUGAUGGUUCAUGGUUCAAGGCUGUACAAUUUAUAAGUUUGAAGUCAAACAACACAUGAUGGAUAAUCCUGAUGUUACAGAUUCUCAGGGGAGAAUAUAUAUUUGUUUUUUCUACCAAUUGUUCUAGUAUUUACAGACAAACUUCUUAAUUAUACUGGGUUGGUUAAUAAGUAUUUUUCUUUACUCUUUCAAUCUAGGUCCAGCUAUGCAUCACCUCUUUGCUGAUGAGCCUUAAGAAAAUCCAAAUUUAUAAAUUGCUGGGUCCAUCUCUCUUGCCAUCCAGAAAAGUCAGAGCAACUGGUCUUGCUGGUUUUAAGUGUUGCCUGUGUUUCUGGCAUUGGUCACAAAGCCUACUGCCUGCUAAUCGGCAAGUGGACCUGUUUCUCUAACAAUGGCCCGAAACUUCACAACAUCAAAGGAGAAAUCAUUGCCAGCAAAAGCAUUUCCGGGUAGUAGGAAAGAAUGCAAGUGAAUAACAUUAGUCCAGAAGUUUUAAUAAUAUUCUUUGCUGGUUGAAAUUCAUGUUUAACAUGAUGUAAAUUACUUGAUAAGCAAAUUAAGAACUAUGCUACUACAGACUCCAAAUAAGACGCAAGAAAAAUGAGGGGAAAUACAUUAAAGGAAGAUCUUAAAAAACA